Molecule: ribosomal RNA, 465 nt
Filed under: uncultured bacterium
Lineage: Bacteria
Description: partial 16S ribosomal RNA
Rfam family: Bacterial small subunit ribosomal RNA
Source: RNAcentral
GAUGAACGCUGGCGGCGUGCUUAACACAUGCAAGUCGAACGGAAAGGCUCCUGCUUGCAGGGGUACUCGAGUGGCGAACGGGUGAGUAACACGUGGGUGAUCUGCCCUGCACUUCGGGAUAAGCCUGGGAAACUGGGUCUAAUACCGGAUAGGACCACAUUUUGGAUGGUGUGGUGGAAAGUUUUUCGGUGUGGGAUGAGCUCGCGGCCUAUCAGCUUGUUGGUGGGGUAAUGGCCUACCAAGGCGUCGACGGGUAGCCGGCCUGGGAGGGUGUACGGCCACAUUGGGACUGAGGUACGGAGCAGUCUCCUACGGGAGGCAGCGGUGGGGAAUCUUGCACAAUGGGCGCAAGCCUGAUGCGGCGACGCCGCGUGGGGGAUGACGGCCUUCGGGUUGUAAACUCCUUUCGCUAGGGACGAAGCGCAAGUGACGGUACCUGGAGAAGAAGCACCGGCUAACUACGUG